RNAcentral lists this ribosomal RNA (424 nucleotides) under uncultured bacterium. RNAcentral's name for it is "partial 16S ribosomal RNA". It matches the Rfam family "Bacterial small subunit ribosomal RNA", at positions 360 to 776 of the family's 1533-position model. The record is from RNAcentral.
AAUAUUGCACAAUGGGCGAAAGCCUGAUGCAGCCAUCCCGCGUGUGCGAUGAAGGCCUUCGGGUUGUAAAGCACUUUUGUCAGGGAAGAAAAGGUUCUGGCUAAUACCCGGAACUGAUGACGGUACCUGAAGAAGAAGCACCGGCUCACUACGUGCCAGAAGCCGCGGUAAUACGUAUGGUGCAAGCGUUAAUCGGAAUUAUUGGGCGUAAAGCUUGCGCAGGCGGUUCGGAAAGAAUGAUGUGAAAUCCCAAGGCUCAACCUUGGAACUGCAUUCUUAACUACCGAACUAGAGUAUGACAGAGGGGGGUAGAAUUCCGCGUGUAGCAGUGAAAUGCGUAGAUAUGCGGAGGAAUACCGAUGGCGAAGGCAGCCCCCUGGGAUAAUACUGACGCUCAUGCACGAAAGCGUGGGUAGCAAACAGG